UACGUAGGGGGCAAGCGUUAUCCGGAUUUACUGGGUGUAAAGGGAGCGUAGACGGCGGUGCAAGCCAGAUGUGAAAGCCCGGGGCUCAACCCCGGGACUGCAUUUGGAACUGUAUAGCUAGAGUGUCGGAGGGGCAGGCGGAAUUCCUAGUGUAGCGGUGAAAUGCGUAGAUAUUAGGAGGAACACCAGUGGCGAAGGCGGCCUGCUGGACUGCAACUGACGUUGAGGCUCGAAGGCGUGGGUAGCAAACAGG
RNAcentral lists this ribosomal RNA (253 nucleotides) under uncultured Blautia sp. RNAcentral's name for it is "partial 16S ribosomal RNA". It matches the Rfam family "Bacterial small subunit ribosomal RNA", at positions 524 to 776 of the family's 1533-position model. The record is from RNAcentral. Lineage: Bacteria; Bacillati; Bacillota; Clostridia; Lachnospirales; Lachnospiraceae.